This 492-nucleotide ribosomal RNA is filed under the name uncultured bacterium. RNAcentral describes it as "partial 16S ribosomal RNA". It matches the Rfam family "Bacterial small subunit ribosomal RNA", at positions 29 to 507 of the family's 1533-position model. The record is from RNAcentral.
AGUGAACGCUGGCGGUAGGCCUAACACAUGCAAGUCGAACGGCAGCACAGUAAGAGCUUGCUCUUACGGGUGGCGAGUGGCGGACGGGUGAGGAAUACAUCGGAAUCUACUUUUUCGUGGGGGAUAACGUAGGGAAACUUACGCUAAUACCGCAUACGACCUACGGGUGAAAGCAGGGGAUCUUCGGACCUUGCGCGAUUGAAUGAGCCGAUGUCGGAUUAGCUAGUUGGCGGGGUAAAGGCCCACUAAGGCGACGAUCCGUAGCUGGUCUGAGAGGAUGAUCAGCCACACUGGAACUGAGACACGGUCCAGGCUCCUACGGGAGGCAGCAGUGGGGAAUAUUGGACAAUGGGCGCAAGCCUGAUCCAGCCAUACCGCGUGGGUGAAGAAGGCCUUCGGGUUGUAAAGCCCUUUUGUUGGGAAAGAAAAGCAGCAGGUUAAUACCCCGCUGUUCUGACGGUACCCAAAGAAUAAGCACCGGCUAACUUCGUG